This 486-nucleotide ribosomal RNA is filed under the name uncultured bacterium. RNAcentral's name for it is "SSU rRNA". It matches the Rfam family "Bacterial small subunit ribosomal RNA", at positions 26 to 523 of the family's 1533-position model. The record is from RNAcentral.
AGGGUUAACGCUGGCGGCGCGCAUAACACAUGCAAGUCGAGCGAGGGCUUAUUUCCCGCAAGGGAGAUGAGUUCCUAGCGGCGAACGGGUGAGUAACACGUGGGCAACCUUUCCUAUCGCGGGGGAUAACACCGGGAAACCGAUGCUAAUACCGCAUGUCGUCACUGGUCGAUUGGCUGGUGAAGAAAGCAGCAAUGCACGAUGGGGUGGGCCCGCGGCCUAUCAGCUAGUCGGUGGGGUAACGGCCUACCGAGGCUAUGACGGGUAGCUGGUCUGAGAGGACGGCCAGCCACACGGGGGACUGAGACACGGCCCCGACUCCUACGGGAGGCAGCAGUGAGGAAUCUUCCGCAAUGGGCGAAAGCCUGACGGAGCGACGCCGCGUGUGGGAUGAAGUCCUUGGGAUGUAACCACUGUCGGAGGGGAAGAUAGUGACGGUACCCUCCAAGAAAGCCCCGGCUAACUACGUGCCAGCAGCCGCGGUAA